GAUGAAGAACGUAGCGAAAUGCGAUACGUAAUGUGAAUUGCAAAUUCAGUGAAUCAUCGAGUCUUUGAACGCACAUUGCGCCCCCUGGUAUUCCGGGGGGCAUGCCUGUCCGAGCGUCAUUGCUGCCCUCAAGCACGGCUUGUGUGUUGGGCCCCGUCCUCCGAUCCCGGGGGACGGGCCCGAAAGGCAGCGGCGGCACCGCGUCCGGUCCUCGAGCGUAUGGGGCUUUGUCACCCGCUCUGUAGGCCCGGCCGGCGCUUGCCGAUCAACCCAAAUUUUUUAUCCAGGUUGACCUCGGAUCAGGUAGGGAUACCCGCUGCACUUAAGCAUAUCAAUAAGCGGAGGA
RNAcentral lists this unclassified non-coding RNA (346 nucleotides) under soil metagenome. RNAcentral describes it as "partial contains 5.8S ribosomal RNA, internal transcribed spacer 2, and large subunit ribosomal RNA". The stretch from base 1 to 119 matches the Rfam family "5.8S ribosomal RNA", at positions 35 to 154 of the family's 154-position model. The record is from RNAcentral.